AAUAGAUACCCAGGUAGUCCACGCCGUAAACGAUGGAUGCUAGCUGUUAGGAGUAUCGACCCUUCUAGUAGCGAAGCUAACGCGUUAAGCAUCCCGCCUGGGGAGUACGGUCGCAAGAUUAAAACUCAAAGGAAUUGACGGGGACCCGCACAAGUGGUGGAGCGUGUUCUUUAAUUCGAUGAUAAGCGAAGAACCUUACCAGGCUUGACAUCCUUGGAAUUUCUCCGAAAGGAGAGAGUACUUUAUUGGACCAAGUGACAGGUGUUGCAUGGCCGUCGUCAGCUCGUGUCGUGAGAUGUUAGGUUAAGUCCUUCAACGAGCGCAACCCUUAUGUUUAGUUGGAUUUUUCUAAACAGACUGCCUCGGUAACGGGGUAGGAAGGAGGGGAUGGAUGUCAGGUCAUUAUUACCCUUACGUCCUGGGCUAGAAACGCGCUACAAUGGCCGGUACAAAGGGCAGCCAACCCGCGAGGGGGAGCAAAUCCCAUCAAAACCGGUCCCAGUUCGGAUUGCAGGCUGAAACUCGCCUGCAUGAAGCCGGAAUCACUAGUAAUCGUAGGUC
This 561-nucleotide ribosomal RNA is filed under the name uncultured bacterium. RNAcentral describes it as "bacterial SSU rRNA". It matches the Rfam family "Bacterial small subunit ribosomal RNA", at positions 777 to 1350 of the family's 1533-position model. The record is from RNAcentral.